GUGCAGUGGCCUGCUGACCCGGAAGCUGAUCUGAGGGAUCACUGGGACUGAGGUGAGUCUGCGUUUAUCUGGUUGAAACCUGCGCGUUGCGCCCCCACCUCUUCUUUCCAGCGAGUGGGUCGCAGUGUUCACUCGUAGGUGAAAGCUUCUGAGCCUGUUCUCCCUCUCGCUGUGAGGACAUCCCGGUCCCGCAUCGCCCUGAGCUUCCCGGAGUCUGGCGCGUGGCGAGCCGCGGCGACCUGUCCCAGGAGUCCUAGAACCCUGGAUCCCUGUAUCACCUCGAUUCUGCUGAGACAUCAACAGGAACCUUUACCUUCAUAGUCCCCAUGUGAUUUCCUGGGCUCUGCAAAUGACUCCCUCUGUAGUCCUCAGUAUCUCAGGCUCCCCACUGCUGCUUAGUGCAGGGGAUUCACCAGGAGGACAGUGUACUCCAAAGAAGUGUGGAGAAAGUCUCUGCUUGGACUUCCUGAAGGAGUUUCAUAUCUCUGGAUCACCAUCUCACUGCAGUGGGCAGCAGCGGACCCACCUUUCCACACUGAUUAACCUUUAAAUAUUCCUGUUACAUAAGGCGGAAGUCUGGAAGAGAAGAAAAAAGAAAGAAAAAGAGUCAGAAAUGGCUGUUAUUCAGGUAAAGCAGUGUUCACAUUUGUUUUCUGUCUUGUAAAGGUGGUUUUUGCUGUAUUGUUAUUAAAUCCUUGUUUCUGUGAGAUAGGGAACACCUGGAGCUUCUUGCUCAACUACAACUAUGCAUCAGUCCUUCGGAACAGUUAUGUAAUUUCUUUUCAUGGAUCAGGCAGUGUCUUUUGCUUAAGUGACCUGGUAUAAUUGCUAAUGGAGAUGUAAGAUGUUUCAUAUGUAAAUGUGCAUGUAUGCUUAAUGAGAGCCACUAAGGGAGGAAGGU
This 901-nucleotide long non-coding RNA is filed under the name Cavia porcellus (domestic guinea pig). RNAcentral's name for it is "lncRNA (ENSCPOG00000033231.1)". Lineage: Eukaryota; Metazoa; Chordata; Mammalia; Rodentia; Caviidae. The record is from RNAcentral.